Molecule: ribosomal RNA, 1469 nt
Filed under: Salmonella enterica
Lineage: Bacteria; Pseudomonadati; Pseudomonadota; Gammaproteobacteria; Enterobacterales; Enterobacteriaceae
Description: partial 23S ribosomal RNA
Rfam family: Bacterial large subunit ribosomal RNA
Source: RNAcentral
GGUUCCUGUCCAACGUUAAUCGGGGCAGGGUGAGUCGACCCCUAAGGCGAGGCCGAAAGGCGUAGUCGAUGGGAAACGGGUUAAUAUUCCCGUACUUGGUGUUACUGCGAAGGGGGGACGGAGAAGGCUAUGUUGGCCGGGCGACGGUUGUCCCGGUUUAAGCGUGUAGGUGUGUGUUCCAGGUAAAUCCGGUUCACUUUAACACUGAGGCGUGAUGACGAGGCACUACGGUGCUGAAGCAACAAAUGCCCUGCUUCCAGGAAAAGCCUCUAAGCAUCAGGUAACAUCAAAUCGUACCCCAAACCGACACAGGUGGUCAGGUAGAGAAUACCAAGGCGCUUGAGAGAACUCGGGUGAAGGAACUAGGCAAAAUGGUGCCGUAACUUCGGGAGAAGGCACGCUGACACGUAGGUGAAGUGAUUUACUCAUGGAGCUGAAGUCAGUCGAAGAUACCAGCUGGCUGCAACUGUUUAUUAAAAACACAGCACUGUGCAAACACGAAAGUGGACGUAUACGGUGUGACGCCUGCCCGGUGCCGGAAGGUUAAUUGAUGGGGUCAGCGCAAGCGAAGCUCCUGAUCGAAGCCCCGGUAAACGGCGGCCGUAACUAUAACGGUCCUAAGGUAGCGAAAUUCCUUGUCGGGUAAGUUCCGACCUGCACGAAUGGCGUAAUGAUGGCCAGGCUGUCUCCACCCGAGACUCAGUGAAAUUGAACUCGCUGUGAAGAUGCAGUGUACCCGCGGCAAGACGGAAAGACCCCGUGAACCUUUACUAUAGCUUGACACUGAACAUUGAGCCUUGAUGUGUAGGAUAGGUGGGAGGCUUUGAAGUGUGGACGCCAGUCUGCAUGGAGCCGACCUUGAAAUACCACCCUUUAAUGUUUGAUGUUCUAACGUGGACCCGUAAUCCGGGUUGCGGACAGUGUCUGGUGGGUAGUUUGACUGGGGCGGUCUCCUCCUAAAGAGUAACGGAGGAGCACGAAGGUUGGCUAAUCCUGGUCGGACAUCAGGAGGUUAGUGCAAUGGCAUAAGCCAGCUUGACUGCGAGCGUGACGGCGCGAGCAGGUGCGAAAGCAGGUCAUAGUGAUCCGGUGGUUCUGAAUGGAAGGGCCAUCGCUCAACGGAUAAAAGGUACUCCGGGGAUAACAGGCUGAUACCGCCCAAGAGUUCAUAUCGACGGCGGUGUUUGGCACCUCGAUGUCGGCUCAUCACAUCCUGGGGCUGAAGUAGGUCCCAAGGGUAUGGCUGUUCGCCAUUUAAAGUGGUACGCGAGCUGGGUUUAGAACGUCGUGAGACAGUUCGGUCCCUAUCUGCCGUGGGCGCUGGAGAACUGAGGGGGGCUGCUCCUAGUACGAGAGGACCGGAGUGGACGCAUCACUGGUGUUCGGGUUGUCAUGCCAAUGGCACUGCCCGGUAGCUAAAUGCGGAAGAGAUAAGUGCUGAAAGCAUCUAAGCACGAAACUUGCCCCGA